RNAcentral lists this ribosomal RNA (253 nucleotides) under uncultured bacterium. RNAcentral's name for it is "partial 16S ribosomal RNA". It matches the Rfam family "Bacterial small subunit ribosomal RNA", at positions 524 to 776 of the family's 1533-position model. The record is from RNAcentral.
UACUGAGGGUGCGAGCGUUAAUCGGAAUUACUGGGCGUAAAGCGCACGUAGGCGGAUACUUAAGUCAGGGGUGAAAUCCCGGGGCUCAACCCCGGAACUGCCUUUGAUACUGGGUAUCUCGAGUCCGGAAGAGGUGAGUGGAAUUCCGAGUGUAGAGGUGAAAUUCGUAGAUAUUCGGAGGAACACCAGUGGCGAAGGCGGCUCACUGGUCCGGUACUGACGCUGAGGUGCGAAAGCGUGGGGAGCAAGCAGG